UAUUUCUGGGGGAGCGGUUAAAUGCGAUAAUCCUAGGAAGACCACCUGUGGCGAAGGCGCCCAACUAGAACAGUUCUGACGGUGAGGGAUGAAAGCUAGGGGAGCGAUCCGGAUUAGAUACCCGAGUAGUCCUAGCUGUAAACUCUGUGAACUAGGUGUCGCAUAUUCUACGCGAAUAUGCGGUGUCGAAACGAAGGUGCUAAGUUCACCGCCUGGGAAGUACGGUCGCAAGACUGAAACUUAAAGGAAU
RNAcentral lists this ribosomal RNA (250 nucleotides) under uncultured archaeon. RNAcentral's name for it is "partial 16S ribosomal RNA". It matches the Rfam family "Archaeal small subunit ribosomal RNA", at positions 616 to 865 of the family's 1478-position model. The record is from RNAcentral.